RNAcentral lists this ribosomal RNA (419 nucleotides) under uncultured bacterium. RNAcentral's name for it is "bacterial SSU rRNA". It matches the Rfam family "Bacterial small subunit ribosomal RNA", at positions 30 to 453 of the family's 1533-position model. The record is from RNAcentral.
AUUGAACGCUGGAGGUAUGCUUAACACAUGCAAGUCGAACGCGAACGUUUCUUCGGAAAUAAGUAGAGUGGCGGACGGGUGAGUAACGCGUAGGAAUCUACCUAGAUGUGGGGGAUAACAUGGAGAAAUUCAUGCUAAUACCGCAUAUGUCCCACGGGAUAAAGAGGGCCUCUUCUUGAAAGCUCUUGCAUUUAGAUGAGCCUGCGUCGGAUUAGCUUGUUGGCGGGUAAUGGCCCACCAAGGCGACGAUCCGUAGCUGGUCUGAGAGGAUGAUCAGCCACAUCGGGACUGAGACACGGCCCGAACUCCUACGGGAGGCAGCAGUGGGGAAUAUUGGACAAUGGGCGAAAGCCUGAUCCAGCAAUACCUCGUGUGUGAAGAAGGCCUUAGGGUAAGCAUUUAUUGGACAGGUUGUAAGA